Molecule: non-coding RNA, 2265 nt
Organism: Odocoileus virginianus texanus
Lineage: Eukaryota; Metazoa; Chordata; Mammalia; Artiodactyla; Cervidae
Source: RefSeq, a predicted model, not a curated record
GUCUCCUGCACUGCAGGAGGAUUCUUUAUCAGCUGAGCUACCAGAGAAGCCCUUUAGGGCUUAGGAAGAAGCCUUAGGAAGAAAGGCAUUUUACAGGUAUAUGGUUUCCUUCAUAUGGAAACAACCACAACCCUGCAACUCAUGAUACUCGACACAUGUGUAUAAAUGUUCAAAAGGAGACCACCUCACAGGUACCAGAAUUCUCCUCCAGGCCAUCUCUUCAGGUAAGACUGGAAAAGCAAGCAUUCUGCAUGCUGGCUUACUUAGACAGAAUUCUUAGAAAUAUGAGUCAAAUUCUCAUUCUGUUUUAAAUUUGAGCAGAUAAUUCCCACUGAAUAAUCUAUGCCUGGGAACAUACUGUUGUUUUUCCAGAGUCAGAGCAUAAAUAUGAUUUGCUAUAUAUAUUAUUCAAGACCUAGUUCCAAGUAGCAGAAAACCCGGUUUACACUGACUUUAGCAAAUAGAGAAUUCUGUGUGUCAUAUAUAUAUAUAGAAUAUCUCCUGAGGGUAGAACAAAGCUCCUGCUGCGAACAUGGGCCCCUUGUCCUCUCUCUCGCUGAGCAAACACGAGUUUUGAAGGGCCGUCUCUGCCUCUUCCUUCAUCUCUGAAGCCUUCUGGGCUUCAUUCUCAGACGAGCUCCCUUACAUGGUCUCAAGAUGUCCACCAGCUAUAAACUUAGAGACAUUCCUUCCUCGUGACGUCAACAAAGCUGCCCCAGUUGUGUUCCGCUGCCUCUGAUUGGCUGACUCGGGACACAAGACCAUCUGGAUGCAGCCUGUGAUGUAUCCUCCUUAGGAAGGUCCAGAUCACAUGCCCUGCCUCCAUUUCAGGACUUCUAAGGCAGAAUACAGUGUGAUCACUCCACAUCCACUAGACUCCCCAAAGGCCAGAAGAGACCAACGCCAAGGAUGGCAAGUCCCAGAGACGAGGAGCAGCCAGGAUCCUCCCACUCUGCUGGUGGGAGGACAGAGCAGGAACAUAUUAGCACCUGGCUUGCAAGGUAAAACUGAUACACGCAAAGCAGCUGAAACAAUGACUAGUCCCCAAAGAACUAAACAGGAGGUGCUUCAGGAGUAUUGUUUCUGCAUCCCACCCAGCCAUGACACAGCCAGUCUGAUGCCACUUUCCUCACCGCUGUUGCUCUCGAUCUUCAGCCGUCAUUGAGGAUUAAGGUCCAGAGCUGCUCCAGGCCUGACUUAGGCCUCACUCUGAAGAUGCCUCCCUGGACACCUCUGAGCUGGAGGAACCCGCCUGCUGUAACCCAGCAGGGCGCCACGCAGCUCUCCUUCACCGACGCUGUCUCAUAUUGCCUGUUUACCUUGCGGUGCCUGUUAGUCACACACCAAACAGCUGUCAAGACUGAUGAGUAAGACGCUCUGUGCAGGCUCGAGUCAGGUUAGAACUGGGGUCCAAAGCAGCCUCCGCUGAAGCCAGCGUCACUUGAUUAAUUGACACCGUGCUAUCUUGCGAGCCCUGUGACCCUGGGGAAGUUAUUUAACUUCUCUUGCUUGUUCUCUCAAAUAGAUUCUUGGUUUCUGCUUCACAAAUGAAGUCAUCUAUACCAUUUUUCUUGAUUCCACACACACGUGUUAAUAUACAAUAUUUGUUUUUCUGACCUACUUGACUCUGCAUGAGUCUCUAGGACCAUCCACAUCCCUACUAAGGACCCAGUUCAGUCCCUUUUAUGACUGAGUGACAGUUCAUUGUACAUACAUAGCACACCUUCUUUAUCCAUUCCUCUGCUGAUGGACAUUUAGGCAGAAAGAGACACACAGACAUAAAGGUCAAACACGUACGUGGAUUGCGGUGGAUGGACUGCGAGGCUGGACUGACGUAUACACACUGCCACGUGCGAACGAGGUAACUAAGGAGAGCCCGCUGCGGAGCGCAGGGAGCCCCGCCCGGUGCUGUGUGGCGACCUUAGACGGGAAGGCGCUCCAAGCCAGAGAGGACGCACGUUUGCACUGAGGGGCUCACUCUGCUGCGCCGCAGAAACUGACACCACUGCGAGGCGACUGGACGCCAAGAAGACACUGUUUUAAAGAGACUCGCUUACGUCAGAAACUAAGCAGAACAGGCACUGGUCACAUUCGCUGCCUCAGGAAACGGGAGAAGACGUGCCCGCGGCCUCCUCCUCUGCCCCUGCCAGCUCCGCCCCGAGGACGGCCCUCCCUGCUGGUCCUGGAGACGCAGUGGCUUCUCAGGAAACCCUUCUGUGCCUGGGCCCUCAAUCCCCGCCUCCUCCGCCUCCCUCAAGGAACUGA